UACGUAGGGGGCUAGCGUUGCUCGGAUUUACUGGGCGUAAAGGGCGCGUAGGCGGUCAGUUUAGUCAGAGGUGAAAGCCCAGGGCUCAACCUUGGAAGUGCCUUUGAUACUGGCUGUCUCGAGUCCGGUAGAGGUGAGUGGAAUUCCGAGUGUAGAGGUGAAAUUCGUAGAUAUUCGGAGGAACACCAGUGGCGAAGGCGGCUCACUGGGCCGGUACUGACGCUGAGGUGCGAAAGCGUGGGGAGCAAACAGG
RNAcentral lists this ribosomal RNA (253 nucleotides) under uncultured bacterium. RNAcentral describes it as "partial 16S ribosomal RNA". It matches the Rfam family "Bacterial small subunit ribosomal RNA", at positions 524 to 776 of the family's 1533-position model. The record is from RNAcentral.